GCGACAAAACUGAAGUUUUUAGUUUGCCGCCAGGUGUCAGGCGCGGCGUUCAAAGAGAGCGCAUCAGCGCCACGCAUGCGUAGAGGCUGAGAAACAUUUGAAAGAUCUAGAAUCUGGAGGAUUGACGCAAUUUUGAGAUCUUGCUGUGUUUAAUAACAAGAAUAAUUGUAAUUACUGUUAAUUGUUGCUUAUAAAAAUCAUUAAAACAAAAUGAUUAUUCCAGUACGUUGUUUUACUUGUGGCAAAGUCAUCGGAAAUAAAUGGGAGGCUUAUUUGGGUCUUUUGCAAGCCGAAUAUACUGAAGGUGACGCACUGGAUUCGUUGGGAUUAAAACGUUACUGCUGCCGUAGAAUGCUUCUGGGCCACGUGGACUUGAUUGAAAAAUUACUCAAUUAUGCUCCGCUUGAAAAAUAAAUACUCAUCAUUCCAACAUGUAAAUAAUUACUAUUAAGUUUCUUUAUAAAAUAAAUCAUAUAUUUAAUAAAAAAAAAAGAGCAAUGAUUUUUUCUCAAAAAGGAAAUGAAGUAAAUAAAAUUUCUAAAUUAUA
Molecule: RNA transcript, 547 nt
Organism: Microplitis mediator
Lineage: Eukaryota; Metazoa; Arthropoda; Insecta; Hymenoptera; Braconidae
Gene: Rpb10
Gene name: DNA-directed RNA polymerases I, II, and III subunit RPABC5
Exons: 3
Source: RefSeq, a predicted model, not a curated record